This 253-nucleotide ribosomal RNA is filed under the name uncultured bacterium. Its description in RNAcentral is "partial 16S ribosomal RNA". It matches the Rfam family "Bacterial small subunit ribosomal RNA", at positions 524 to 776 of the family's 1533-position model. The record is from RNAcentral.
UACGGAGGGUGCGAGCGUUGUCCGGAAUCACUGGGCGUAAAGGGCGCGUAGGCGGCGCGACAAGUCAAUGGUGAAAGCCCGAGGCUCAACUUCGGGUCGGCCACUGAUACUGUUGGGCUUGAGCACUGUAGAGGCAGGUGGAAUUCCGGGUGUAGCGGUGGAAUGCGUAGAGAUCCGGAAGAACACCGGUGGCGAAGGCGGCCUGCUGGGCAGUAGCUGACGCUGAGGCGCGACAGCGUGGGGAGCAAACAGG